RNAcentral lists this ribosomal RNA (626 nucleotides) under uncultured fungus. RNAcentral's name for it is "eukaryotic LSU rRNA". It matches the Rfam family "Eukaryotic large subunit ribosomal RNA", at positions 24 to 664 of the family's 3401-position model. Lineage: Eukaryota; Fungi. The record is from RNAcentral.
CCCGCUGAACUUAAGCAUAUCAAUAAGCGGAGGAAAAGAAACUAACAAGGAUUCCCCUAGUAACUGCGAGUGAAGCGGGAAAAGCUCAAAUUUUAAAUCUGGUGGCCCCGCCGCCCGAGUUGUAUUCUGGAGAAGCGUCUUCCGCGCCGGACCGUGUACAAGUGCCUUGGAACAGGACGUCACAGAGGGUGAGAAUCCCGUCUUUGACACGGACCCCCGGCGCUCUGCGAUGCGCUCUCGAAGAGUCGAGUUGUUUGGGAAUGCAGCUCAAAACGGGUGGUAAAUUCCAUCUAAAGCUAAAUAUUGGCGAGAGACCGAUAGCGAACAAGUACCGUGAUGGAAAGAUGAAAAGAACUUUGAAAAGAGAGUGAAAAAGUACGUGAAAUUGUUGAAAGGGAAGGGCUUGAAAUCAGACUUGGUAUUCAAUGAUCAAUUUUCUUUCGGGGAGAUGCACUCGUUGUUUACUGGGCCAACAUCGAUUUAGACGGUGAGAUAAUGACAGUUGAAUGUGGCUUGCUUCGGUAAGUGUUAUAGCUUCUGUUGAUAUCAUCAGUUUGGAUCGAGGACUGCGCAUUUUUGCUAGGAUGUUGGCGUAAUGAUUUUAAGCCACCCGUCUUGAAACACGG